GGGCUGACGGAUAAUUUUCCAAGCCUUUGUGACGUGACAUCGUAGACGGCAUUUUUGAGCUGCCAUGGCUCAUGAUGAGGGAGUUGAAAUAGAGGAGUUAAUGUGCUUGUAUUUAAAGCCUCUCCAAAGCCUCCUCGACAACUUCAGAGCCAAGAUUUCAGGAAACCGGGAUCAAUUUGAAACCUGGUGCAGUUGAAAACACUCUUUCAUCACAUGCUUAGCAGAAGUUCAAGUGCACCAGAGAAUGCAGCCAAGAAUCUGUCUGCUAGAUUCACUGUCAGAAUGUCAUGUUUCACAUCUACCCGAACUCCUAUCUGAUGCAGCUGACGGAAACAAAGAAAAUCUGCAACAGGAAAAGCUCUCCGCAGACCCCCUCAAACUGGUAAUUCCAGAGGAAUCACGGACAAGUCAAGUCUCGAAGAAUGGUGAUAUUUUCACAUUCAUAAAUAAAGUCAUCAGGAUUUGCAAUGGAUUUUGCAUGAGCAUAAGAAGAGAGAAAUCAAAGAAUCCUCCUAAGUUUGUUACUCAGGGAUGGGAAAAGAAGCAAGUGAAAGAGUCCAUGAGAACACGCUAUUUAAAUGUGUGUUGUGGUUCUACCAGUAGGACAUAUAGUAUACAGUGGAAAAACUACUAGCAGGCUACAAAGAGUUUGUUAUUUGGUUUAUAUCUUCUUACUUCACCUUAGGCAAGCACAGCAUCUCGUAUUUAUUCCAAAGCAUUUACCAUCCUUCUUUGGAUUAAAUAAAUUAUUAUUGAAGACAGCAG
RNAcentral lists this long non-coding RNA (765 nucleotides) under Heterocephalus glaber (naked mole-rat). RNAcentral describes it as "lncRNA (ENSHGLG00100038109.1)". Lineage: Eukaryota; Metazoa; Chordata; Mammalia; Rodentia; Bathyergidae. The record is from RNAcentral.